UUUUUUAUUUUAUUUUCUAAUUUAGACAAACAAACCUAAUAAAAAAAAUAAAUAAAACAAACAAGGUAUGGGGUGGAUUUGUCAUGCAAAGGGACUACAUAUAGUAAAAACUAAUAAUCAAACAAGAAAUAAAAACAAGAGAAAAAAAAACAAUAAAACAGGGGUACAGAGAUAACAAAUUGGGGUGUAUCAGAAAAUUCCUUAGCUCAGGCCCAAAUGAACAAGAGGGGUGCGGCGGUGCAGUUUGGGGGGUGCCACUAGUAGUUGCUGGUCAGGCCCAAGGCCACUUCUUGUUUGCAGGAAUGGAUUGGGGGUGUCAAUAUGAUUGUGUGUGGUGACGGGAAGAGGUGGCCCACGCCAGCCCAGGUCUCUUAACCCUAACANAAUUAGGGGUUCCAGUGAAUCUCCCCAUUAUGCCAAACACCAAGACCUAGGGUCANCUUCUCUGAACGAAAGAAGCUAGAGAUCUGCCUCCACUGCUCACGGUCUCNUUUCAGCUUUCGGCCACCAUAAACCGAGGUCCACGGCNCNGCCGACAGNGACCCUCCUCCCCUUUUCCACAGCGGCCAAUGGUUGGGGCUUUCUUCCUUUGGGCACCGCCGGUCGCCUCUUCGAACCNAGUCACCGCGCCACCAUCUCCUCCCGGUUUCAACGUCGUUCGCUGUCAGAAACGUCGGAGACGACGCCNAUUACCACCAGAGCCCUGCGUCGAGCUUUCUCCAUCACCAUCGUUGCGCCACAACCACCGUCGAACCUGUGGCGCCGCGCCCUUCUUCUCUUCGACCAGAGCGUAUGGGACUUCUUCUUCUCCCGGUUUCAUCGGCGCCUUCCACCAUUUUUCCUGGGCCAACGUCAUCAGUUCAGCGUCGUUCAGCCACCUUCGACGCCACUGCCAAUGAUUGUGCCAGUGCCUCCAUCCCCGCUCCUCUCUUCUCUAAGCGAGUCCGAAACCCAAUUUCCUUCAGACUUGCAAACAGUGUAGGUGUCGACGACACCAUCUUCCUAUCGAUUAGAUAUUGGCAAUGAAGGUGGUGAGAUUUGGGACUUUGAUGAUGACAAAGUCGUGAGAGUGGGUGAGGAUAAUUGUGGUUGUUUUGUUGAAUUUGCAGGUGACGAAUGGAUGUUGUUGGGUGAUGAAAAUGUAAGAAGGUAAAGCAUGAUUGAGUUUCUCUGUUUUGUUUCUUUUUCUGAAAAUGGUGGAGGUUAGGAAAUGGGAGAAUGGGUUCCGCUCUGUUUUGCUUUGGUAUUGGGUUUCUGUAAUCUAUGAUGAAGGUGGNGGUGGCUAGCCAAAAG
RNAcentral lists this long non-coding RNA (1293 nucleotides) under Vigna radiata. RNAcentral describes it as "long non-coding RNA (VRAD_LNC002717)". The record is from RNAcentral. Lineage: Eukaryota; Viridiplantae; Streptophyta; Magnoliopsida; Fabales; Fabaceae.